CAGUCGAGCGGUAAGGCCCUUCGGGGUACACGAGCGGCGGACGGCUGAGUAACACGUAGUUAACGUACCCCAAAGUGAGGGAUAAGCACCAGAAAUGGUGUCUAAUACCGCAUGUGCUCUAAGGAGUAAAGCUCCGGCGCUUUGGGAACGGCUUGCGCAUGAUUAGCUAGAUGGUGAGGUAAUGGCUCACCAUGGCGACGAUCAUUAGCUGGUCUGAGAGGAUGAUCAGCCAGACUGGGACUGAGACACGGCCCAGACUCCUACGGGAGGCAGCAGUAGGGAAUUUUCCACAAUGGGCGAAAGCCUGAUGGAGCAACGCCGCGUGCAGGAUGAAUGCCUUCGGGUUGUAAACUGCUUUUAUAUGUGACGAAUAUGACGGUAGCAUAUGAAUAAGGAUCGGCUAACUCCGUGCCAGCAGCCGCGGUCAUACGGAGGAUCCAAGCGUUAUCCGGAAUUACUGGGCGUAAAGAGUUGCGUAGGCGGCAUAGUAAGCAGAUAGUGAAAGCGUGUGGCUCAACCAUACUCACAUUAUCUGAACUGCUAAGCUAGAGGACGAGAGAGGUCACUGGAAUUCCUAGUGUAGGAGUGAAAUCCGUAGAUAUUAGGAGGAACACCAAUGGCGUAGGCAGGUGACUGGCUCGUUCCUGACGCUCAGGCACGAAAGCGUGGGGAGCAAACGGGAUUAGAUACCCCGGUAGUCCACGCCGUAAACGAUGGAUGCUAGCUGUUAGAGGUAUCGACCCCUCUAGUAGCGAAGCUAACGCGUUAAGCAUCCCGCCUGUGGAGUACGGUCGCAA
RNAcentral lists this ribosomal RNA (797 nucleotides) under bacterium enrichment culture. RNAcentral's name for it is "bacterial SSU rRNA". It matches the Rfam family "Bacterial small subunit ribosomal RNA", at positions 59 to 891 of the family's 1533-position model. The record is from RNAcentral.